Clostridium magnum DSM 2767 is the source of this 108-nucleotide regulatory RNA element. It matches the Rfam family "PyrR binding site". From Rfam's summary of the family: This family represents the PyrR binding site and terminator structure. The record is from Rfam. Lineage: Bacteria; Bacillati; Bacillota; Clostridia; Eubacteriales; Clostridiaceae.
GUAACCUUUAAAUUGGUCCUGUGAGGCCGGGAAGGUAGCAAGAAUAUGUCGUUCCUGUUGUAAGUUUUAGUAUAUUCAUGCCUUCCUUUAGGGGAAGGCAUUUUUUAU